Molecule: ribosomal RNA, 269 nt
Filed under: uncultured prokaryote
Description: partial 16S ribosomal RNA
Rfam family: Bacterial small subunit ribosomal RNA
Source: RNAcentral
UACAGAGGGUGCAAGCGUUAAUCGGAGUUACUGGGCGUAAAGGGCGUGUAGGCGGAUACUUAAGUCGGAUGUGAAAUCCCUGGGCUCAACCUAGGAACUGCAUUCGAUACUGGGUAUCUAGAGUAUGGUAGAGGAAAGUGGAAUUCCCGGUGUAGCGGUGAAAUGCGUAGAUAUCGGGAAGAACACCAGUGGCGAAGGCGACUUUCUGGACCAAUACUGACGCUGAGGCGCGAAAGCGUGGGGAGCAAACAGGAUUAGAUACCCGCGUA